AGUAACGGCGUAUGACAACCUACCUAUCAGAGGGGAAUAACCCGGCGAAAGUCGGACUAAUACCGCAUAAACGGGGGCACCGCAUGGUGAUAUUUGUUAAAGAAAUUCGCUGAUAGAUGGGCAUGCGUUCCAUUAGGUAGUUGGUGAGGUAACGGCUCACCAAGCCGACGAUGGAUAGGGGAACUGAGAGGUUGGUCCCCCACACUGGUACUGAGACACGGACCAGACUCCUACGGGAGGCAGCAGUGAGGAAUAUUGGUCAAUGGGGCGGGAGCCUGAACCAGCCAAGUCGCGUGAAGGAAAAGAAGGAUCUAUGGUUCGUAAACUUCUUUUGCAGGGGAAUAAAGUGCAGGACGUGUCCUGUUUUGUAUGUACCCUGAGAAUAAGGAUCGGCUAACUCCGUGCCAGCAGCUGC
This 415-nucleotide ribosomal RNA is filed under the name uncultured bacterium. RNAcentral's name for it is "bacterial SSU rRNA". It matches the Rfam family "Bacterial small subunit ribosomal RNA", at positions 109 to 518 of the family's 1533-position model. The record is from RNAcentral.